AGCGAACGCUGGCGGCGUGCUUAACACAUGCAAGUCGAACGUGAACGGGGCAACCCUAGUAAAGUGGCGUACGGGUGAGUAACACGUAGGUAAUCUGCCUUAGAGUUCGGAAUAACCUGCCGAAAGGCGGGCUAAUACUUGAUAGAGCGACGGAAUCCGUAAAUGGGUUUUUCGGGAAAGGGAGCUUGAUAAGAGCCCUC
RNAcentral lists this ribosomal RNA (200 nucleotides) under uncultured bacterium. Its description in RNAcentral is "partial 16S ribosomal RNA". It matches the Rfam family "Bacterial small subunit ribosomal RNA", at positions 29 to 218 of the family's 1533-position model. The record is from RNAcentral.